UACGUAGGGUGCGAGCGUUGUCCGGAAUCAUUGGGCGUAAAGGGCUCGUAGGCGGUCCAUCGCGUCGGGAGUGAAACGCUGGGGCUUAACCCCAGUCCUGCUUUCGAUACGGGUGGACUAGAGGUAGGCAGGGGAGAAUGGAAUUCCUGGUGUAGCGGUGAAAUGCGCAGAUAUCAGGAGGAACACCUGCGGUGUAGACGGCUUUCUGGACCAUUGCUGACGCUGAGACACGAAAGCGUGGGUAGCAAACAGG
RNAcentral lists this ribosomal RNA (253 nucleotides) under uncultured bacterium. RNAcentral describes it as "partial 16S ribosomal RNA". It matches the Rfam family "Bacterial small subunit ribosomal RNA", at positions 524 to 776 of the family's 1533-position model. The record is from RNAcentral.